GCUACCAUGCCCACAGCCCC
RNAcentral lists this unclassified non-coding RNA (20 nucleotides) under Mus musculus (house mouse). RNAcentral's name for it is "oocyte_clustered_small_RNA8254". Lineage: Eukaryota; Metazoa; Chordata; Mammalia; Rodentia; Muridae. The record is from RNAcentral.